AGAGUUUGAUCCUGGCUCAGGAUGAACGCUGGCGGCGUGCUUAACACAUGCAAGUCGAGCGAGAAAAGUUCUUCGGAGCUUUUCUAGCGGCGGACGGGUGAGUAACACGUGGGCAACCUGCCUCAUAGAGGGGAAUAGCCUUCCGAAAGGAAGAUUAAUACCGCAUAACAUUGUUGAAAGGCAUCUUUUAACAAUCAAAGGAGCAAUCCGCUAUGAGAUGGGCCCGCGGCGCAUUAGCUAGUUGGUGAGGUAACGGCUCACCAAGGCGACGAUGCGUAGCCGACCUGAGAGGGUGAUCGGCCACAUUGGGACUGAGACACGGCCCAAACUCCUACGGGAGGCAGCAGUGGGGAAUAUUGCACAAUGGGGGAAACCCUGAUGCAGCAACGCCGCGUGAGUGAAGAAGUAUUUCGGUAUGUAAAGCUCUAUCAGCAGGGAAGAUAAUGACGGUACCUGACUAAGAAGCUCCGGCUAAAUACGUGCCAGCAGCCGCGGUAAUACGUAUGGAGCAAGCGUUAUCCGGAUUUACUGGGUGUAAAGGGUGCGUAGGUGGCAGUGCAAGUCAGAUGUGAAAGGCCGGGGCUCAACCCAUGAACUGCUUUUGAAACUGUUUCCCUUGAGUAUCGGAGAGGCAGGCGGAAUUCCUAGUGUAGCGGUGAAAUGCGUAGAUAUUAGGAGGAACACCAGUGGCGAAGGCGAUUCUCUGGACGACAACUGACGCUGAGGCGCGAAAGCGUGGGGAGCAAACAGGAUUAGAUACCCUGGUAGUCCACGCUGUAAACGAUGAAUACUAGGUGUGGGGGGACUGACCCCUUCCGUGCCGCAGUUAACACAAUAAGUAUUCCACCUGGGGAGUACGAUCGCAAGAUUGAAACUCAAAGGAAUUGACGGGGGCCCGCACAAGCAGUGGAUUAUGUGGUUUAAUUCGACGCAACGCGAAGAACCUUACCGGGAUUUGACAUCCUACUAACGAAGCAGAGAUGCAUUAGGUGCCCUUCGGGGAAAGUAGAGACAGGUGGUGCAUGGUUGUCGUCAGCUCGUGUCGUGAGAUGUUGGGUUAAGUCCCGCAACGAGCGCAACCCCUAUUGUUAGUUGCUACGAAAGAGCACUCUAGCGAGACUGCCGUUGACAAAACGGAGGAAGGCGGGGACGAUGUCAAAUCAUCAUGCCCCUUAUGUCCCGGGCUACACACGUAAUACAAUGGCGAAUAACAAUGGGAGGCAAAGCCGCGAGGCAGAGCAAAUCCCCAAAAUUCGUCUCAGUUCGGAUUGCAGGCUGCAACUCGCCUGCAUGAAGCUGGAGUUGCUAGUAAUCGCGAAUCAGAAUGUCGCGGUGAAU
RNAcentral lists this ribosomal RNA (1338 nucleotides) under uncultured bacterium. Its description in RNAcentral is "16S ribosomal RNA". It matches the Rfam family "Bacterial small subunit ribosomal RNA", at positions 8 to 1367 of the family's 1533-position model. The record is from RNAcentral.